UACAGUGUGCAGUUCUGGUUUCCCAUGUUUAAGAAGGAUGAAUUCAAACUGGAAUAGGUUCAGAGAAGGGCUACUAGGGUGAUCCGAGGAAUAGAAAACCUGUAUUAUGAAAGGAGACACAGGCCA
Molecule: non-coding RNA, 126 nt
Organism: Chelonoidis abingdonii (Abingdon island giant tortoise)
Lineage: Eukaryota; Metazoa; Chordata; Testudines; Testudinidae
Source: RefSeq, a predicted model, not a curated record